GUGGGGAAUCUUCCGCAAUGGACGAAAGUCUGACGGAGCGACGCCGCGUGAGUGAAGAAGGCCUUCGGGUCGUAAAGCUCUGUCAUCAGGGACGAACGGCCGGUGGAGUGGAAAGCCACCGGAUUGACGGUACCUGAGAAGGAAGCCACGGCUAACUACGUGCCAGCAGCCGCGGUAAUACGUAGGUGGCAAGCGUUGUCCGGAAUUAUUGGGCGUAAAGCGCGCGCAGGUGGGAUCUUAAGUCGAUUUUUAAAGUUCGGAGCUCAACUCCGUGAUGGGAUAGAAACUGGGAUUCUUGAGUACCGGAGAGGAAAGCGGAAUUCCCCGUGUAGCGGUGAAAUGCGUAGAUAUGGGGAGGAACACCAGUGGCGAAGGCGGCUUUCUGGACGGUGUCUGACACUGAGGCGCGAAAGCCAGGGGAGCGAACGGGAUUAGAAACCCCUGUAGUCC
RNAcentral lists this ribosomal RNA (450 nucleotides) under uncultured bacterium. Its description in RNAcentral is "partial 16S ribosomal RNA". It matches the Rfam family "Bacterial small subunit ribosomal RNA", at positions 354 to 796 of the family's 1533-position model. The record is from RNAcentral.